CGCCCCUCCUGCUCCCGGCUUUCAUGUGGAUCAAGGCUGGAGGAUGACAAGCUCCUGACUGAUAGAUACAUGGAGACUUCGCUGGUGAUUUAUUGGCUUUCUGCACCUGACGAGAACCACUAGGCCUAUCUGAGGAGGGAAAUAUAUGGGCUUUCCUGACUCCAAGUGGCAGCCCCGGGGCGAGCAUGUGAUGUCAAGCUGGGCAGAGGAAAGCGGAGCUGUGCACCGGCCUGUGUACUGUAAGCCGGCCCGGGUCGUAAAAGUGUCAGCACGCGAUAUAUUUCUUGCAGGGGAUCCUCUCUGGCUCUUGCCAGCGCCUCUCCCCCGUGGCUGGCAGCCGCCCUAGCCGGGCCUGCAAACAGCGGAUGCCCCAGGUCGCUAUCCCUCCGCCCUGCCCCGGAGCGCCGGGCCCUCACGUUCUCGCUCCAGCCUGGGGUCUCUCACGUGGCAUCUGGCCCUGGGGACGGUGCAGCGGAGGAGUUAAUUGCUGUCACUCCUGACUUCAGCGAAAGAGGCUUCUUCCUCGGGGUUAGCAGGGGCCUGGAGUGGAUGUUUAGUCUACCGGUCAGACUCCAGGUCUUAUAUCUUGAAACUGUAAGUCCCUGAAUUCACAGACAAUUCAGAGUAAGGAUGGAGGCAAAGAAGAGGACCUUGGGUUUACUGUUCACGAGAUGACCUCAUAAAGGUGUUCAGUGAUGAAGAGGAGUGGCUGAAGAGAUGGCUGUCUAGAGUCAACACAAACCUACCCCAAAGUUUGACCUUUGCCUUAAGUCAGUAACUGAGGAGGGCCACGGUCCUGAGUUCAGUCCAGACCCCAGGAAGAUUCAGAGCCUGCAGUUGUCCUCUGGUUUCUAAAGUAUGUUAUUGGGCUAAAGAUUUCAAGACAUUUAUCCUUCUUUGCUUUCUAUCGCAGCCAUUAAAUGUUUUAGAUAUUUUCUGCCAGAAGGCAGGAAUCAUGAAGAUAACAAAUAUUAAAGACAAAACCAAAUAACUUUUAAUGAGAAGGUCAGUCCGUGGUUUGAGUCUUUGGAAAGAAAUCAAGAACUCUGACUAUACUUGCUAUUUGACCAUUGAUUCUCUAGUGGAAAUGGGCAAAUCUUUUAUACCAGGGCAAAUUUUUCAGUAACGGGCCAGACAGCAAAUAUUUUAGGAAUUGUGGGCCAUACAGUCUCUCUCCCAACUACUUAACUCUUCAGCAUAGCAUAAAAGCAGCCAUAAACAAUACUACAACAAGUAUGGCUGCAUUCCAAUAAAACUUUAUUUACAAAAAUAGGCAGCACGCCAGAUUUGGCCCACAAGCUAUAGCUUUCUGACCCCUGCUUUGCCAAACUCAAUAACAAACAGAGAGGGAGACUCUUUUAAAAAAAUUAUAUUCAUUUGGGAGUAGCAUUGCAAUGGGAAUACGUGUGCCAUAGCAAAUUAUGAGCGUAUUCAAAGAGAUUGGGGCAAGGGGAAGUUUAUAAAGGCAAAACGAAGAGGAUUACAAUUGUUCAAAUCAAUUAUCCUUGGCUACAAGGGUGGCACAAGUCCAAGCUUGAACAGGCAGUUGCUAGACAGACAUCCUUACAGAAGUAUUUUCUGUGUAAGGUUGCAGUGGUCUUUUUGCAAAGCUAUAGUAAAUCACAGGGGUCAGUACAACCGUAGUGCAAUGGAUAAGCCUUGCCCUCGGAAAAUCUUCGUGAUCAUGGUAUCUCCCCUGCCAAAUAAAUAUUGUGACAGUUCUUAUCAGGCAUUCAUGUGUAAGAACUCUCCCUUGAUGGCCUUCCCUGGCUCCAUUUGCCAGGGUUUUAACAUAAAUUACUCCAUUUUGAUUCGGACAACUUUCAUAACUGCUUACCAUCUGUGCCUCUGUGUAUAAAAGUGGACAUACUAAAAUUUUUCCUUAGGGCUACAACUAAACAUCCAGCCUAGCCCUUAGCCAGCACCAAGGAAGAGGCCUGGGGGAUAGAGGAACAAAUAAUGAGACCAAGUCAGGCCAUCCCCCAUGGGGUGAGGCCUGCAGGUAGGUGGGCCCAGUGUGGUGUACCUCUAGCACAGUGCCUGGCACAAAAUUGCAGUUUAUUUUCUGAAUAAAUAACUCUUGGAUCAAUUGGUUGCUCUCUGGGAAUGUGACUUUGCUGUUGAGUUGUGCAGAGUACUCUCUGUCUCCAAGCCAAUCCCAGCUUCAGUAUCUCACCCCACAAUCCACAUUUCCCAGUGUCUGGAGUAACAACAAUGACCUGGGGCUGGGCUCUCAGCAAGUCAAACCCUGCCUCAACAAACCCAAACUGCUUUGGGGACCAAUGUGAUGCAAAUGUGUACUGAAUCCCCUGAAUUCCCCCUGGUGAUCCUGUCCUGUAACAGGCCCUCCCCAUCCCCUCAGGCCAGUGCAUUCAGGAAAUCAGUGACCACAGGAUGGUUUCUCAGCUGGAGGGAAGGUCAGCCUGCAUCUGAGCAUCUUAGAACAUGUUAUUUUGUUCCCACUGGUCAAUCCCGUCCAAGCUGUACACAUAGUGCCUAAGCCACGUUUGUUACUGCAGGCCUGUCUUCGGAAAGGUCACUGAACAGAAGGAGGAGGCACCUUACUCUCUUUUGUUACGUCUUCACCACUUUUGUCUAAAGGGAAGUUUAGCUGGAGGGCUGAGCACGCAGACAGGUUUCUGACUGUGCCACAUAGAUCCCACAUUGCUUCUCUGCCAUGAUUUAUCAUCUGUGACUUGACAUGUUCUGCACACACGGGCAUGUUGUACACAUUGAGACAUGCUUCCUGCAUUCAAAGAUUUUCCCAUAUUGAGGGCAUUUUCCUGGUGCAGAAUUGAAGACUGAAUUGAGGCAUUCAGAUUGACCUCAACAUCUACGGGUCUGGAGGAGGUUUGGGACGUUUCCUUUUCUUCUCUUCAGGGGCCCACUCCUGUUGUAAAGAGCAGCAGCAUUUAUAAUGAGGGCCCAGGAAAUGCGGGGGAGAGGGGAGAGCCUGCUAUCUCUGCAGUGGGUGACUGUUGUUUCCCUGAUCAACAAUGUAUCAUAUCCCAGCCUAAGCCUGCCUUUCUCCUUCCCCCUCCACAUGGGGAGGGGCCGUGGGCUCAGAGCUCACCUGGAAUGCCUCUGGUUGCUGAAGGGCUGGAUGGAGACUCUGAGACAACCUGAUGGAUCAUCUCAUAAACAGAGCCUGCAGGAAGGAAAAGAAAAUUAUGCCAGCAUAAUGCACUUACGAGAAAUAGAUACGUGCGGUGCAGGGAGAAAUGCUUUGAUAUUAAAAUUUUUGUAACUUAAAAAGGCAUGAAAAAUGAUACCGACCACUAACUAAUCAACAUUCCUUUGCGAAUACAGCUUCAGUUCCUAACCAAAAACACAUCCCUGCUAUUGUCUUGUCUGGAUCCAGAUGCAAACAUGAUUAAUUAAGUUUCUGGUGAGGAGUGGGACGAGGGCAGUGGGAACUGAUGGCUUGCUGAGGAUCCUUUUCAUAUACAGGCCUGGGGAGAAUCCCUUAGUCUGGGUGCCUAUUUCCCUCCACAUGUCAGGGCUUACCCCGUGCACUGACAGCCACGGGGGCAGUGAGUAGGCUGCAGCCAGACCCAUGGAGUGAGGCAGUGAGAGGCUGAAAGGAGAGGCUCUACAGACAGUACAGGGAGGCUCUUGGUAUCUCCCAUUGCCACUGCACAGCACAGCACGGCAGAGUAGCAAACGCAUAUGCCAUGUCUUGUUGGGAGACCUGGGCCCUGCUCCAGACUGCUACCAAGUAGUUUGGGACCUUGGAUGAGCUGCCUCAAUUUCUCCAUUUGUGAAAUUGGGAGGUGACAGCGUGCUGGCAGCCCUCGCAGCCCUCGCUCUCGGCCUUGGUGCCUGCCUACUCUGGCCGCCCUUGAGGAGCCCUUCGGCCCACGGCUGCACUGUGGGAGCCCCUUUCUGGGCUGGCCAAGGCUGGAGCCAGCUCCCUCAGCUUGCCGGGAGGUGUGGAGGGAGAAGCGCGGGCAGGAACCAGGGCUGCUCAUGGGGCUUGCCGGCCAGCGCGAGUUCUGGGUGGGCAUGGGCUCAGUGCCUGCGCACUCUGAGCGGCCGGCAGGCCUGCGAACCCCGGGCAGUGAGGGGCUUAGCUCCUGGGCCAGCAGCUGCUGUGCUCAAUUUCUCGCCGGGCCUUAGCUGCCUCCCCGCGGGGCAGGGCUCGGGACCUGCAGCCCACCAUGCCUGAGCCUCCUCCCGCCGUGGGCUCCUGUGUGGCUGGAGCCUCCCCGAGGAGCACCGCCCCCUGCUCCACCGCUCCCAGUCCCUCAACCACCCAAGGGCUGAGGAGUGCGGGCGCAUGGCACGGGACUGGCAGGCAGCUCCACCUGCGGCACCGGUACCGGAUCCACUGGGUGAAGCCAGCUGGGCUCCUGAGUCUGGUGGGGACUUGGAGAACCUUGGUGUAGACACUCUGUAUCUAGCUAAUCUAGUGGGGAUGUGGAGAACUUUUGUGUCUAGCUAAGGGAUUGUAAAUACACCAGUCGGCACUCUGUAUCUAGCUCAAGGUUUGUAAACACACCAAUCAGCACCCUGUGUCUAGCUCAGGGUUUGUGAAUGCACCAAUGGACACUCUGUAUCUGGCUACUCUGAUGGGGACUAGGAGAACCUUUGUGUCUAGCUCAGGGAUUGUAAACGCACCAAUCAGCACCCUGUCAAAACGGACCAUUCAGCUCUCUGUAAAACAGACCAAUCGGCUCUCUGUAAAAUGGACCAAUCAGCAGGAUGUGGGUGGGGCCAGAUAAGAGAAUAAAAGCAGGCUGCCCCAGCCAGCAGGCACAACCCUCUCGCCUCACCUGCCGCAGUGUGGAAGUUUUGUUCUUUGGCUCUUUGCAAAAAAUGUUGCUGCUGUUCACUCAUUGGGUCUACACUACCUUUAUGAGCUGUAACACUCACUGGGAAGGUCUGCAGCUUCACUCCUGAAGCCAGCGAGACCACGAACCCACCGGGAGGAACAAACAAUUCCAGACGCGCCGCCUUAAGAGCUGUAGCAGUCACGGCCGGGCACGGUGGCUCACGCCUGUAAUCCCAGCACUUUGGGAGGCCGAGACGGGCGGAUCACGAGGUCAGGAGAUCGAGACCAUCCUGGCUAACACGGUGAAACCCCGUCUCUACUAAAAAUACAAAAAAAAUUAGCUGGGCAUGGUGGCGCACGCCUGUAGUCCCAGCUACACGGGAGGCUGAGGCAGGAGAAUGGCGUGAACCCGGGAGGCGGAGCUUGCAGUGAGUCGAGAUCGCGCCACUGCACUUCAGCCUGGGCGACAGAGCGAAACUCCGUCUCAAAAAAAAAAAAAAAAAAGAGCUGUAGCAGUCACAGCAAAGGUAUGCAGCUUCACUCCUGAGUCAGCGAGACCAGGAACCCACCACAAGGAAGAAACUCCGAACACAUCCGAACAUCAGAAGGAACAAAUUCUGGACACGCUGCCUUUAAGAACUGUAACACUCAGCGCGAGGGUCCCCUGCUUCAUUCUUGAAGUCAGUGAGACCAAGAACCCACCAAUUCCAGACACAAAAGGAGAGGUUGGAUUAAAUGUUCCUCAAAGUCUUCCAUUUCUGGCUUUUUAUUCCAGUGCCCAAAGUCCUUCACACAAAGCA
RNAcentral lists this long non-coding RNA (5574 nucleotides) under Homo sapiens (human). RNAcentral's name for it is "HSALNT0013582". The record is from RNAcentral. Lineage: Eukaryota; Metazoa; Chordata; Mammalia; Primates; Hominidae.